GGGCGGCGGUAGUGCAACGGUUCAGCACGCACUCUCGGAAAGGGUGAAGUCUUGGUUCGAAUCCCAGCUCGCGCA
Parelaphostrongylus tenuis is the source of this 75-nucleotide non-coding RNA. Lineage: Eukaryota; Metazoa; Nematoda; Chromadorea; Rhabditida; Metastrongylidae. The record is from the annotation of a GenBank genome assembly.